RNAcentral lists this ribosomal RNA (253 nucleotides) under uncultured bacterium. RNAcentral's name for it is "partial 16S ribosomal RNA". It matches the Rfam family "Bacterial small subunit ribosomal RNA", at positions 524 to 776 of the family's 1533-position model. The record is from RNAcentral.
UACGUAGGGUGCGCGCGUUAAUCGGAAUUACUGGGCGUAAAGUGUGCGCAGGCGGCCGCGCAAGUCGAGUGUGAAAGCCCCGAGCUUAACUUGGGAAUUGCGCUCGAAACUACGUGGCUGGAGUGUGGCAGAGGAAGGUGGAAUUCCACGUGUAGCGGUGAAAUGCGUAGAGAUGUGGAGGAACACCGAUGGCGAAGGCAGCCUUCUGGGCCAACACUGACGCUCAUGCACGAAAGCGUGGGGAGCGAACGGG